CGCCUGUUUAUCAAAAACAUGUCUUUUUGUUAAUUAUUUAAGGUUUGGCCUGCUCCAUGAUGAAUUAAAUAGCCGCAGUAUUUUGACUGUGCAAAGGUAGCAUAAUCAUUAGUUUUUUAAUUGAAAGCUGGAAUGAAUGGUCGGAUGAGAAAGUAACUGUCUCAUUUUAAUUUUUUUUGAAUUUUAUUUUUAAGUUAAAAAGCUUAGAUUUUAUAGAAAGACGAGAAGACCCUAUAGAGUUUAAUAGGUUUAUAAUUUAGUUAUUUGAAGGUUUAAUUUUGAUUAUUUUAUAGCUUAUUUGGUUGGGGUGACAUUAGAAUUGAUUAAACUUCUUUAUAUUUGAACAUUGAUUAGUGAAUAGGUGAUCCUGAUUUUUGGAUUAUAAGAAUAAAUUACCUUAGGGAUAACAGCGUAAUUCUUUUGGAGAGUUCUGAUCGAUAAAAGGGAUUGCGACCUCGAUGUUGGAUUAAAGUUAAUUUUUGGUGCAGAAGCUAAAAUUUUG
This 502-nucleotide ribosomal RNA is filed under the name Australytta szekessyi. Its description in RNAcentral is "partial large subunit ribosomal RNA". It matches the Rfam family "Bacterial large subunit ribosomal RNA", at positions 1797 to 2575 of the family's 2925-position model. Lineage: Eukaryota; Metazoa; Arthropoda; Insecta; Coleoptera; Meloidae. The record is from RNAcentral.